CUCUUACGUCAGAGUUUAUCCAUUCUUCAUUGAUUAUCCUAAUAAAAAUUAAUUUUCCUUCAGUUUCUUUUAUUUUCUAUUCCUUUCAUAAAGUUUCCUCAACUCCAAACAGGGGAAAAUGAAACAAAAGGAAAAAACUGUCCAAACAUCUUUACUAAGUUGAGCUCCUCUCUAUUAUCUCUAUUCUUUAAAUCCAAAUCGUCUCUUAUCAAUUCAUCCACAGAAUUUUUAUCUUCUCUUUUAUCUCCUAAUUCACCACCAUUAACACACACUCACAAUCCAUCCAUGCUUUGUCAAUAAAGUGAAGAAAUUCCAGAAAAAGACGACAAAGAAAAGGUGGGUUUUCAGACCCAUCUCAUUUCCAGCUCUAUUUAACGAGAACAAGGAAGAAAAUAUUCAUGGAAAUGUACACAGUACUAUCCGUACUCAGUCUAUUCUGUUAAGGAUUCUGUUUCUUGCAGUUUCUGAUUCAAUUACUGUAUCCAGAUACCUCGUGAAUGGAUCUAACAAUACGGUUCAGUGCACUGUAAAUUUACUGUUUGUUGUUCUUCUUCUUGUGUUUGCACAAUCUGGGUUUUCAUCUUCUGUGUUGGUUUUGCUAUGGACGCAUGAUUUUGGGUACCCGUCUUGUGGAUUGAUAUUUGUAUUAUGAAAUUUUUUGUGGUGAGAUUUGAGUUGGGAUAAAGGAACCUAUUUGGGUGGUGCUUUUUGUUAU
Molecule: unclassified non-coding RNA, 715 nt
Filed under: Hevea brasiliensis (rubber tree)
Lineage: Eukaryota; Viridiplantae; Streptophyta; Magnoliopsida; Malpighiales; Euphorbiaceae
Source: RNAcentral